Molecule: long non-coding RNA, 268 nt
Filed under: Nicotiana benthamiana
Lineage: Eukaryota; Viridiplantae; Streptophyta; Magnoliopsida; Solanales; Solanaceae
Description: long non-coding RNA (NBEN_LNC034635)
Source: RNAcentral
AUAAUUAUCUAAACAUACGAAACAUAAAUAAAAUCGCAUGCAAUAAUAUCAUACAGUAACUACCAUAACUAAUAGCCAUAGGGGGACAUAAGCUAAAACACAAAUCAUCUAUGGGUAACCCUACUGACCCACUCCCAACCCCGAAUGAGGCGUACGACCUAUCCUACAACCCUAUCCUACAACCCUGAUUCUAGACCUCCAGACUUUCCUAUCAAGGGUCAUGUCCUCGGAAACCUGCAUUCUAGUCAUGUCCUGCCUAAUCACCUNN